UUCCUACGGGAGGCAGCAGUGGGGAAUUUUGGACAAUGGGCGAAAGCCUGAUCCAGCAAUGCCGCGUGCAGGAUGAAGGCCCUCGGGUUGUAAACUGCUUUUGUACGGAACGAAAAGCCUGGGGCUAAUAUCCCCGGGUCAUGACGGUACCGUAAGAAUAAGCACCGGCUAACUACGUGCCAGCAGCCGCGGUAAUACGUAGGGUGCAAGCGUUAAUCGGAAUUACUGGGCGUAAAACGUGCGCAGGCGGUUUUGUAAGGCAGUGGUGAAAUCCCCGGGCUCAACCUGGGAACUGCCAUUGUGACUGCAAAGCUAGAGUGCGGCAGAGGGGGAUGGAAUUCCGCGUGUAGCAGUGAAAUGCGUGGAUAUGCGGAGGAACACCGAUGGCGAAGGCAAUCCCCUGGGCCUGCAUUGACGCUCAUGCACGAAAGCGUGGGGAGCAAACAGGAUUAGAUACCCUGGUAGUCCACGCCCUAAACGAUGUCAACUGGUUGUUGGGUCUUAACUGACUCAGUAACGAAGCUAACGCGUGAAGUUGACCGCCUGGGGAGUACGGCCGCAAGGUUGAAACUCAAAUGAAUUGACGG
RNAcentral lists this ribosomal RNA (587 nucleotides) under uncultured Comamonas sp. RNAcentral's name for it is "bacterial SSU rRNA". It matches the Rfam family "Bacterial small subunit ribosomal RNA", at positions 336 to 916 of the family's 1533-position model. The record is from RNAcentral. Lineage: Bacteria; Pseudomonadati; Pseudomonadota; Betaproteobacteria; Burkholderiales; Comamonadaceae.